This 389-nucleotide ribosomal RNA is filed under the name uncultured bacterium. RNAcentral describes it as "bacterial SSU rRNA". It matches the Rfam family "Bacterial small subunit ribosomal RNA", at positions 28 to 417 of the family's 1533-position model. The record is from RNAcentral.
GACGAACGCUGGCGGCGUGCUUAACACAUGCAAGUCGAGCGAGACCCAUCUUUCGGGGUGGUGUUCUAGCGGCGAACGGGUGAGUAACACGUGGGCAACCUGCCCUCAGCUCUGGGAUAACUCCAAGAAAUUGGGGCUAAUACCGGAUAUGACCGCUGACCGCAUGGUCUGGUGGUGGAAAGAUUUAUCGGCUGGGGAUGGGCCCGCGGCCUAUCAGCUUGUUGGUGGGGUAGCGGCCUACCAAGGCGACGACGGGUAGCCGGCCUGAGAGGGUGACCGGCCACACUGGGACUGAGACACGGCCCAGACUCCUACGGGAGGCAGCAGUGGGGAAUAUUGCGCAAUGGGCGGAAGCCUGACGCAGCGACGCCGCGUGGGGAUGACGGCCU